Molecule: ribosomal RNA, 407 nt
Filed under: uncultured bacterium
Lineage: Bacteria
Description: partial 16S ribosomal RNA
Rfam family: Bacterial small subunit ribosomal RNA
Source: RNAcentral
AUUGAACGCUGGCGGCAGGCCUAACACAUGCAAGUCGAGCGGAGCGGCGGACGGGUGAGUAAUGCCUAUGUAUCUGCCUGGUCGUGGGGGAUAACGUCCGGCAACGGGCGCUAAUACCGAAUACUCUCAGUUGAGCCUAGGUCGGAUUAGCUAGUUGGUGGGGUAAAGGCCUACCAAGGCGACGAUCCGUAACUGGUCUGAGAGGAUGAUCAGUCACACUGGAACUGAGACACGGUCCAGACUCCUACGGGAGGCAGCAGUGGGGAAUAUUGGACAAUGGGCGAAAGCCUGACGGAGCAACGCCGCGUGAGUGAUGAAGGUCUUCGGAUCGUAAAACUCUGUUAUUAGGGAAGCGUUACCUAAACAAAAAGCCACGGCUAACUACGUGCCAGCAGCCGCGGUAAUAC